Long non-coding RNA from Pipistrellus kuhlii (Kuhl's pipistrelle), 318 nucleotides. RefSeq lists it as uncharacterized. The transcript has 3 exons. The record is from RefSeq and is a predicted model, not a curated record. NCBI's taxonomy places the organism in Eukaryota, Metazoa, Chordata, Mammalia, Chiroptera, Vespertilionidae.
GAAGUGAAUCAGUUUCCCAGUAAAUUCUCCACUCCAAUCCCCACACAGGGAAAUAUUACUAUUUUUGAGGCACUCAUAUGCUUAAAGCCAAUGAAUUUUUAUAUCACCCCCUGGGAAUACCACUUGCUAGGACUUCUCCCUCCAUUUGUUUGACUUUUGAUCUAGUUUUUUUGUGCGUUGACAAGAGGUCCCAGGCCAACCAUUUAUCUUCUGCAGAAGUGCCUGGGAAUGCAAGGGAGGUGAUAACAUUCCUACAGCGGCUUUUGAAUUUGCAAGGUUUUCUGUCCUGAUGGUUUUUUUGUUUGGUGGUGGUGCUGC